AGAGUUUGAUCAUGGCUCAGCCUGAACGCUGGCGGCGUGGCUAAGACAUGCAAGUCGCACGGUGUAGCAAUACACAGUGGCGAACGGGUGAGUAAUGAAUCGCUAAUGUGCCCCGGACUUUGGGAUAGCUACCCGAAAGGGUAGGUAAUACCAGAUGAUAUGCAGCUGUCGCAUGACAGUUGCCUCAAAGGUCCGCCGGUCUGGGAGCAGGCGAUUUCGUAUCAGCUAGUUGGUGAGGUAACGGCUCACCAAGGCGAUGACGCGUAGCCGGACUGAGAGGUUGGCCGGCCACAUUGGGACUGAGACACUGCCCAGACUCCUACGGGGGGCUGCAGUAACGAAUCUUCCGCAAUGGGCGCAAGCCUGACGGAGCGACGCCGCGUGUAGGAGAAGCCCUUCGGGGUGUAAACUACUGUCAGGGGUUAGAAAGUUCUGAUCAACCCCAGAGGAAGGCACGGCUAACUCUGUGCCAGCAGCCGCGGUAAGACAGAGGUGCCAAGCGUUAGGCGGAAUCACUGGGCUUAAAGCGUGUGUAGGCGGGUCGUUAAGUACCUUGUGAAAUCCCACGGCUCAACCGUGGAACUGCUUGGUAUACUGGCGAUCUUGAGCCAGCUAGGGGCUACCGGAACAAACGGUGGAGCGGUGAAAUGCGUAGAUAUCGUUUGGAACGCCAAUGGUGAAAACAGGUAGCUGGGGCUGUGCUGACGCUGAGACACGAAAGCCAGGGGAGCGAACGGGAUUAGAUACCCCAGUAGUCC
RNAcentral lists this ribosomal RNA (758 nucleotides) under uncultured bacterium. RNAcentral describes it as "bacterial SSU rRNA". It matches the Rfam family "Bacterial small subunit ribosomal RNA", at positions 8 to 796 of the family's 1533-position model. The record is from RNAcentral.